GCAUCACCAUGGAAAGGGUCGAAACCUUGCGCUAUCCCCACGCGGGAGCCACCGGUGGUAGGGAAGACGGUCGCGGUUGGAAGCAGUGGCGGCUUGCAGCGUGUGCCAACCGACGGGGACGCCUGGACGCGGCCGCAGCGGCGGACGCGCGCCCAAGCGAGGGCGGCUGGAUGCGGCGGUGGAGACUCGCCGGACGGCCGGACGGGCGGCGGCUGGCGGACGCGGCGACGGCUGGACCGGCAGUGGCCAUGGCCCAUCCCUGGCUCCGAUUCGCCCGCCACCUGCGCUGGACGCGGGACCCUACGGCGGCGGCUGGACGCGGCGGUAAGGAGACACGGUCAGCCGGUCAGCGCGGCAGUACGGGCUUCUUCCUCAUCUCUAGGAGCAGGGGGCGUUGCGCGACCAGGACGACUCCAAUGACCAUGAGCAUGGCGCCUCCGCCGGAGCACAACGCCCUUCUUUCUUCUCGCUAGGGUUGGAUGUCUAGCAGAUUCACUAAUAGCGAGCACCACCAUUCGUGUUCAUGACCUGCAUGGCUGCUGCAGGCCUCUCUUCGCUCUCCAACAACAAGGCACCAGUAAUUUUUGAGUCGCUGGUUAGCAUGUCGACGACAUGCUCUUUUUCAUCAGCUUGAAGGUUGCAGCCUUCCUCCUCCUCUCAAUGGUUGCUUUUGUCAGUGGGACAGUUUAUGGCCCUCAAGAGGGUUUUAAAGAAACCUCCUUGCGGUUUAUCAUUUAAUGUUUUACCCUUGUUUUAUCAUCCAUGGAAAUUGCAAGGUGCAUUAUGCAAUAUGAAGGGUAUUUAGGUUGUCUUGGUGCAUUGAUGAGUUACGGGGGAUCACAUAGAUGAAAAUUUGACCCUUGACAAUUUCACAAGAAGCAUGGGACGUAACCUAUUUGAUGAUGCUUGGAGCUUUGGGAUCAGUUCAGAUGUUACUGGGAUAGAUGAAUAGCCCGAAACUUUGAGAGGAUGCCAUGGAUCUUCUCCCAAUCCUAGACAGAUGGUUUGCUGCAGCACUGCCGUAUGUCGAGUUAGUUUUGGUGAGGCCAUCUCAGGCCCGAUCCAUUGCCUCCUUCAUGCUCCAGACCAAGCUCUCCAUCAAGGUGAUACUCAUCUAAACUGAACUAGAUAUUGAUGUAUCCAAGCAAUAAUCCUCGCUGCCAUCCUCUCCAUUGUUCAGGGAUAUUUGGUAUGAUUUGACUGUGGCAUAUUAUGGAUAUCACAGAUUAUCCUUACCUUCACUACGACCCUAUAUUGGUCAUUCAACACCUCACACCAAAGCCCAAAGGCACCGCAAUCCCCAGAUAGAUAUACAUUGACCCCAGUAAUGCUGAAAUAUUCUGGGUCAGAGAGCGGAGGACAACGACGGCUGCCAGCGACCCGGGCCACCUCACGGCGGAGGAUCUUCUCCGUCCAUGAUUUCCGGGCGUCAGAUCCGCGAGCUCCCAUAUAUUUUCCUGAUUUCCUCACGAUUUGCCUCAAGAGCAUUGGUUGAGAAAACACCUCGAAAGAAAAGGAAGGGCAUGCUGGGCAUGGAAGAAGCAAGAUAUUAGAGAUGGGACACCAAGGAGAGGAAGGCAGGUCUCCAGAAUAAAAAAAGACAGUUCCAAGAGGAAGGAAAGAAGGAAAGUCUGCGGCUUUGGCAGUAUGGAGAUGUUAAAUCUGACGAGGAGCAGGUUUCAGGUGCAAGAAAAGCGGGAGGCCGUCGGUAGAUGAGAGCAGAUUACUCAAGACAGUGUUCAUAGUGUAGUGAAAAUGGUCAUGGUUUACCUGUGACGUUUUGGACUCUCCCAGCAGAACUCAGCCGAAACUAUAUGAAGUGACAGGGCUACAUUUAUGCAGUUAGAACAAGCCAAUGCUGAACGUUCUUAGUUUGAGCAGUAUUUGCUACUCCAUUCAGUUAUUACAUCUUUAGAGUGGAGAGCUAAACUACAUUCUUUCGCCCUUACGAUUAACAAUGUUGUUUUUCUGUGCACUAUAUUUUGUUGUUAUGAGGCAUUCAAAUAUUGAGAAUUUCCAG
This is a non-coding RNA of Lolium perenne, 2020 nucleotides long. The record is from RefSeq and is a predicted model, not a curated record. NCBI's taxonomy places the organism in Eukaryota, Viridiplantae, Streptophyta, Magnoliopsida, Poales, Poaceae.